This 398-nucleotide ribosomal RNA is filed under the name uncultured bacterium. Its description in RNAcentral is "partial 16S ribosomal RNA". It matches the Rfam family "Bacterial small subunit ribosomal RNA", at positions 523 to 918 of the family's 1533-position model. The record is from RNAcentral.
AUACGUAGGGUGCGAGCGUUGUCCGGAAUUACUGGGCGUAAAGAGCUCGUAGGUGGUUUGUCGCGUCGUCUGUGAAAUUCCGGGGCUUAACUCCGGGCGUGCAGGCGAUACGGGCAUAACUUGAGUACUGUAGGGGAGACUGGAAUUCCUGGUGUAGCGGUGAAAUGCGCAGAUAUCAGGAGGAACACCGGUGGCGAAGGCGGGUCUCUGGGCAGUAACUGACGCUGAGGAGCGAAAGCAUGGGUAGCGAACAGGAUUAGAUACCCUGGUAGCCCAUGCCGUAAACGGUGGGCGCUAGGUGUAGGGGUCUUCCACGACUUCUGUGCCGUAGCUAACGCAUUAAGCGCCCCGCCUGGGGAGUACGGCCGCAAGGCUAAAACUCAAAGGAAUUGACGGGG